GAUGGAGUUGGUAUAAUAUUCGAACUGUUAGAUCGCAUGUACGUGAAGAUUAUCCGGCACGCAUUUAUCGAGGACAUUAUUGUAGUUGAAUAUUAUGUGUAUACCUGAUCGAGGCCUAGGCUUCAUUUACAUUUUGAUUGGUGUAGAGAAGUUAUAAAAUAAAUAUUAUGGAUUAUUUUGUAGGCUCCUUGGGUAGACGAAUAAUACUUGACUGUAUCAUUGAGAACAAUACAUGUCGAUAAAUAUACAUUACGGAAUACUAAUAAAUUGUUAAAAGUAUAAAUUCAUACAAAUAUGGUACUGAAU
Molecule: non-coding RNA, 306 nt
Organism: Cinara cedri
Lineage: Eukaryota; Metazoa; Arthropoda; Insecta; Hemiptera; Aphididae
Source: the annotation of a GenBank genome assembly